CAAAUAAUGAACAGAUGUUGAACAGAAGAAGUGUGUUAGAGGAAGCAGAAGCUGUGUGUGUGUGUGUGUGUGUGUGUGUGUGAGUGUGUGUGUGUGUGUGUGUGUGAGUGUGUGUGUGUGUGUGCGGCGCGGACGCUGAAGAACGGUAACGCUCGGAUGAAAGAGUCCAGUUUACUGCUGAACAGAUCACUCUGGAGAGACUCGCCCAGAACACACAGAGGAUUCCUCACGAUGUACUC
Carassius carassius (crucian carp) is the source of this 239-nucleotide long non-coding RNA. RefSeq lists it as uncharacterized. Lineage: Eukaryota; Metazoa; Chordata; Actinopteri; Cypriniformes; Cyprinidae. The transcript is spliced from 2 exons. The record is from RefSeq and is a predicted model, not a curated record.